CAACUUUCAACAACGGAUCUCUUGGCUCUCGCAUCGAUGAAGAACGCAGCGAAAUGCGAUACGUAAUGUGAAUUGCAGAAUUCAGUGAAUCAUCGAAUCUUUGAACGCAUAUUGCACUCUCUGGCAUUCCGGAGAGUACACCUGUUUCAGUAUCAAAA
This 158-nucleotide ribosomal RNA is filed under the name Jimgerdemannia lactiflua. RNAcentral describes it as "5.8S ribosomal RNA". It matches the Rfam family "5.8S ribosomal RNA". Rfam says of the family: 5.8S ribosomal RNA (5.8S rRNA) is a component of the large subunit of the eukaryotic ribosome. Lineage: Eukaryota; Fungi; Mucoromycota; Endogonomycetes; Endogonales; Endogonaceae. The record is from RNAcentral.